GGGUGUGUCUGUUCUUCACCGUUCCCUGUGUGUUCUCCCCAAAGCUCAAAGAGGAUGACCUUCCUCAAGGGAAGAGAUCUGUUCUUGGGUCAAGGGUGUACGAGUACAUGUGUUCUCCUACUGAAAGUUUCCCAAAGCUCUCAAGGUCUGCAAUGUUGUAUUGGGUGUGCUAACCAGUGCCACAGGCAAGAAAAAUAAAUUUGAAAAAAGCCAUGUGCUUGGAAAUAAAAAAAUGAAACUGUUUUUGUUU
RNAcentral lists this small nuclear RNA (250 nucleotides) under Microtus ochrogaster (prairie vole). RNAcentral describes it as "7SK RNA (ENSMOCG00000010481.1)". It matches the Rfam family "7SK RNA". From Rfam's summary of the family: 7SK was discovered as an abundant small nuclear RNA in the mid-70s but a possible function has only recently been suggested. Two independent studies have found that 7SK RNA binds the CDK9/cyclin T complex (known as elongation factor P-TEFb). Lineage: Eukaryota; Metazoa; Chordata; Mammalia; Rodentia; Cricetidae. The record is from RNAcentral.